RNAcentral lists this ribosomal RNA (253 nucleotides) under uncultured bacterium. RNAcentral describes it as "partial 16S ribosomal RNA". It matches the Rfam family "Bacterial small subunit ribosomal RNA", at positions 524 to 776 of the family's 1533-position model. The record is from RNAcentral.
AACGGAGGGGGCUAGCGUUGUUCGGAAUUACUGGGCGUAAAGCGCACGUAGGCGGCUUUGUAAGUUAGAGGUGAAAGCCCGGAGCUCAACUCCGGAAUAGCCUUUAAGACUGCAUCGCUAGAACGUUGGAGAGGUAAGUGGAAUUCCGAGUGUAGAGGUGAAAUUCGUAGAUAUUCGGAAGAACACCAGUGGCGAAGGCGAGUCCCUGGACAACUCCUGACACUGAGGCACGAAAGCUAGGGGAGCAAACAGG